GGGGAAUAUUGGACAAUGGGCGAAAGCCUGAUCCAGCCAUGCCGCGUGUGUGAAGAAGGCCUUUUGGUUGUAAAGCACUUUAAGUGGGGAGGAAAAGCUUAUGGUUAAUACCCAUAAGCCCUGACGUUACCCACAGAAUAAGCACCGGCUAACUCUGUGCCAGCAGCCGCGGUAAUACAGAGGGUGCAAGCGUUAAUCGGAAUUACUGGGCGUAAAGCGCGCGUAGGUGGUUAUUUAAGUCAGAUGUGAAAGCCCCGGGCUUAACCUGGGAACUGCAUCUGAUACUGGAUAACUAGAGUAGGUGAGAGGGGAGUAGAAUUCCAGGUGUAGCGGUGAAAUGCGUAGAGAUCUGGAGGAAUACCGAUGGCGAAGGCAGCCCCCUGGCAUCAUACUGACACUGAGGUGCGAAAGCGUGGGUAGCAAACAGGAUUAGAUACCCUGGUAGUCCACGCCGUAAACGAUGUCUACCAGUCGUUGGGUCUUUUAAAGACUUAGUGACGCAGUUAACGCAAUAAGUAGACCGCCUGGGGAGUACGGCCGCAAGGUUA
This 548-nucleotide ribosomal RNA is filed under the name uncultured bacterium. Its description in RNAcentral is "bacterial SSU rRNA". It matches the Rfam family "Bacterial small subunit ribosomal RNA", at positions 356 to 896 of the family's 1533-position model. The record is from RNAcentral.